This 372-nucleotide small RNA is filed under the name Arabidopsis thaliana (thale cress). RNAcentral describes it as "ATSL164550". Lineage: Eukaryota; Viridiplantae; Streptophyta; Magnoliopsida; Brassicales; Brassicaceae. The record is from RNAcentral.
AAAAAAAGAGAGAAAAACCGAAAACAAAGAGGGAUGCAACACGAGGACUUUCCGGAAGGUCACCCAUCCUAGUACUACUCUAGCCCAAGCACGCUUAACCGCGGAGUUCUGAUAGGAUCCGGUGCAUUAGUGCUGGUAUGAUCGCAUCAGUUACUACAUGCAAUGCAAUCAUAUAUAUUUUUUUUGAAGACUUUAUGAUCCAUUUGCCGUGGGUCCCACCAGCUAUGUAGGAAUACCUAUCUUGUUUAUAAGAGCUUUGAUACAUGCAAAAUAUUUGAAAACAAUGUCCGAACGUAUAAUCUUCGUCCCGUAAUAUAGCAAAGAUCACGAAAAGGCCAGAAAAAGUACAUUAAGGUCAAAAUUUUGACUAGA